ACUCUUUCAAUUUGACUUCAAUUUCAUCACUGAUUCGCGCUACUCCUUCAAUUUCAUGCACCCUUCAUCACUACUUCGCGCUACUCCUUCAAUUUCACGCACAUCUUCAUCACUGCUUCGCGCUACUCCUUCAAUUUGACGCACAUCUUCAUCACUGCUUCAUGCUUCUCCUCGUGUCAUCAGUGCAUUAGGGCUCCUUCGGCAGUUCUCCUUGAAUUUCACAUUUACGUCUUUGCUCGCUCCUUCGUUUCUCUGCCAUUUUGUUCAAUUUGUGUGGCAUUGCCUUAGGGCUCCUUCGUUUCAGGGCUUCCAUUUUCAGGUAUCACGUUCCCUCUCCCUCCUUCUCUUCUCUGUUUCGUUUCUUCUUUGACUUAUUUUCAUGAAAACGCGUUUUAAUCAGGUGUUGAUCGCGCCAUUGGUGUACUGGGUGUAGGAUCUGUGUUCGUGCACUGGGUUUAGGAACCCAUUCUCACUCGCUUCGUUGCUAGGGCAAACCUUGAGGGAGAACGACACUCCUCUGGCGCAACACACAAAACGAGAGUUCCAGCAUGCUUGAAGCGUAUCUGCGUCCACAAACAACAUAUGAAAUAAGAUCGUUCAAGUGCUGCUGCAAAACCCAACCUCACUAGACGUUUAGCGUGCCAACGGUGAUCACCGGAGAAGGCAGCCCCUCCAUGCGUGCAACAACACCUUCUAUGCAGAUUUCCA
RNAcentral lists this small RNA (708 nucleotides) under Vigna angularis var. angularis. RNAcentral's name for it is "Non-protein coding transcript". Lineage: Eukaryota; Viridiplantae; Streptophyta; Magnoliopsida; Fabales; Fabaceae. The record is from RNAcentral.